GGGAAACAGCCGGGAUCUAUCAGAGAUUGAAACUCACCCACCGGCGCCGCCGCUCCGCAGAGUGUAGAAGUCGCCGCUUUUCGCGGAUCCCGGCGAGCCUUCCUGCUCUCCCGUUUCGCUGAUCGCAUCGUGAAAUAAUUCGAUCGCUCAUAGUUAUUCUGGCUGCGAAGGAAAUCGAGGCAAGAUGGAAAUCGAGCCCCUGCUUCUCCUGAACCUCCAGAGCCGGAUUCCCCUUCGUCGCCUUCAGCUCAACUAGUGCUUCUGGGCGAAGAUCAGCGCUGCCCCUCCGAUAAGCACCGAACUCGCCUAAGAGCAAUUGUUAUGCUCGAGUGGUGGCAGAUUUGUCUUGAGCACAAUCAAGGGUCUUUCACUCCAAGCAAAACUCGGUGAGCAGGCUAUGUGAGCUAGCUUUUGAUGAACUCCUCUCCUGGAAGACCGCGGGCUGUGCAGCUGUUGCUUCCUUUUAGAUGAUUGAGCAAUGUUGGUUUCAUGGGGUUCGUCCCCCCAAGGAUCUGUCCCCGUUUUAUUGUUAGCUCUGGUUCUAGUUUUUAGUCCUCUAUGUUGCUGUUGUUGCCAUAUAAUUAACUUUAUCUACCAUCUUAAGUAAUUGAAAGCAGCACUGUCACGUUUUCGUCCAAAAAAAUUGCUAGAUCAAGUAUGAGCUCGUCAAACCGAUCAUCAGCUGUGCAAUGCUGAAUCAAAAGGUUCAUGGGGUCAUGUAAAUUUCAGAGCUAAAAGCACUUUAAAGAAUUCAGAGGAUCAGUUCUUCUUUGUGCCUACAUGCAUAGUGUCGCUAGAAGAGAACGAAAGACGGAAAGAGUUGACGGGUUUCGAGAAACUUUAAGUUACGUGGAUUGCACGCCUCCCGCUAUGCUUGUGGAGAACUAUUGAAGCACCCAGCGGACGGGUCAUUAUACGAGGCCGGUCACAUUGCAAGUGAUGAUUGUUAUGGGAUUAUGCAGCGAAGCUGUGAAGACACUAUUAUGUUUUUUUGUUUUUGUUUUAAGAAAGACACAAAAUAUAAGACCUACUUCGUUCUU
Brachypodium distachyon (stiff brome) is the source of this 1040-nucleotide long non-coding RNA. RefSeq lists it as uncharacterized. Lineage: Eukaryota; Viridiplantae; Streptophyta; Magnoliopsida; Poales; Poaceae. The record is from RefSeq and is a predicted model, not a curated record. The transcript is spliced from 4 exons.